CUUUUAUCAGAUAAAUAAAUAUAAAAUAUCGCGCAGGUUCCGCUGAAGUUGCUCGGCCUUUGUGUCCACUUUUAUCACAGCUGCCAAGUUUGUCUUGGUUUUCGAUACCCACCCAGACUCGACUUUAGAUUAGCACAUGGAGAGAUCUGAUAUCGAACCGUUGCUUUGCGGGUUUUAGAAUUUAAAAGCUCUUCAUCUGACUUGAGUGAAGAGGUCCUAGCAGCUCCCUUUCUUACUUGUACUCGUUUAAUUCUAUUCUUGGGCACUGCCGGAUGAGAUGGAGUGUCCCUACUUUCACAGAUCUGUCUUAAGGCCAGGUCUUAAGGAGUUACACCCAGCCAAUUUAUCAAGUAUGGCCUCUAGCACCGGAAUUCAGUUCCUACCUGGGAGGAGUUGGCGCAUCAGAAUUCAUGACAUCAAGGAGGGUUACUACGCAGGAUGCCUUUGCACCCCCUCCUCCUCCUCCUACUUCAACAUCUGUAUCAUGUAAUCCUGAUAGUAGGGUUAUAUUAUGUUCAAGACAGGCAGCCUUUUCCCCACUUGAGCGUAACCAUGUCCCCAGCAAUGGUUCUAGAGGGGAUUUGCUUCCCUUUGACUGUAUCACCAACACUGGUGCUAGAGAAGACUCCCGUCCCCCUGACCUUGUCACUAACAAUGGUGCCCCAAGAGAAACCCUUCCCAAGUUGCAAAGGAAAAAUAAAUGGUGCACUUGUUUCACUGGAUGAUGAAAUUUUGGUUCAUAGUGUAGAGGGACAAUGGGAUAAAUUUGCCGGAGAAUUUAGCUAAGAGGACCAAAAUGCAUAUGUGGACUUCGUACUGUAUUUCUUUUGUUGUCAGGUUUUAAUUUAUGAACUCCUGUAAGUGCACGAGUCAUCAAGUUUAGUUUUUUUUUUUUUUUUUUUAAUUUUUUUGGUCAACUGAAAUUUCCCUUAACAAGGCCAAGAGAAACAAGACAGCCUAAUAGAAAAGGCCCACCCAACAAGCUUCUCACAGAUUGAGAAUACGAUUCCUGUUCCAACUGUAAUUGUAACACGCGCCUUGAAAUUCUUUGUUAGGCCUUUCUGCCUAGGCUCAAGAAAGGGCUCCUUUCAUGCAAAAGACGUUCCAGUCAGUGGAUUUACGUACCGGGUUGAGUAGGCUCAAGCCCAGCCCGGAAUGGAAAGAUUGAGUCGUUCGAGGAUUGUGCGGCACUCGUCACUAUUCAUCUGAGUUGGCGGUCCUCGCUCUUUCACUCUCCUCUAAGUUUGCGGUCUUAUCUUCUCAUUUCAUCUGGCCCUGUUCUAAUCACGCAAGCCAAUUCAUGACAUCAAUGAACUUUACUAGGCAGGAUGUCUUUGCUCCUCCUACUACUUCAACAUCAGUAUCAUCUAAUCCUGAUAGUAGGGUUAUAUCACGUUCGAGACAGGAGACCUUUUCCCCACUUGAGCAUAACCAUGUCUCCAGCAAUGGUUCUAGAGGUGAGUCACUUCCCCUUGACGGUGUCACCAACAAUGGUGCUAGAGAAGACUCCCUUCCCCCUGACCUUGUCACUAACAAUGGUGCCCCAAGAGAAACCCUUCCCAAGUUGCGAAGGAAAAAUAAAUGGUGUUGUUUCACUGGAUAAUGAAGUUUUGGUUCAUAGUGUAGAGGAUGCUGGACAAUGGGAUAAAUUUGCCGGAGAAUUUAGCUAACAAGGCCGAAAUGCAUGUGGACUUCAUAUUGUAUUUCUUUGGUUGUCAGGUUUUAAUUUAUGAACUCUUGUAAAUGCACGAGUCAUCAAAUUUAGUUUUUUUUUAUUUUUUUAUAAUUUUUUUAAAUAUUUUUUUAAUUUGGGUCAACUGAAAUUUCCCUUAACAAGGCC
Molecule: long non-coding RNA, 1840 nt
Organism: Rosa rugosa (rugosa rose)
Lineage: Eukaryota; Viridiplantae; Streptophyta; Magnoliopsida; Rosales; Rosaceae
Exons: 5
Source: RefSeq, a predicted model, not a curated record